UCGGGAAUUUUGGGCAAUGGGGGAAACCCUGACCCAGCAACGCCGCGUGAAGGAUGAAGUAUUUCGGUAUGUAAACUUCGAAAGAAUAGGAAGAAUAAAUGACGGUACUAUUUAUAAGGUCCGGCUAACUACGUGCCAGCAGCCGCGGUAAUACGUAGGGACCAAGCGUUGUUCGGAUUUACUGGGCGUAAAGGGCGCGUAGGCGGCAAUUCAAGUCAUCUGUGAAAUCUCCGGGCUUAACUCGGAACGGUCAGAUGAUACUGCUUUGCUAGAGUGCAGAAGGGGCAAUCGGAAUUCUUGGUGUAGCGGUGAAAUGCGUAGAUAUCAAGAGGAACACCUGAGGUGAAGACGGGUUGCUGGGCUGACACUGACGCUGAGGCGCGAAAGCCAGGGGGAGCAAACGGGAUUAGAUACCCUCGUAGUCCCUGAGCGGGCUGGCAAGGCGCAU
RNAcentral lists this ribosomal RNA (448 nucleotides) under uncultured bacterium. RNAcentral describes it as "bacterial SSU rRNA". It matches the Rfam family "Bacterial small subunit ribosomal RNA", at positions 355 to 825 of the family's 1533-position model. The record is from RNAcentral.